This 573-nucleotide ribosomal RNA is filed under the name uncultured Bacillota bacterium. RNAcentral's name for it is "bacterial SSU rRNA". It matches the Rfam family "Bacterial small subunit ribosomal RNA", at positions 351 to 916 of the family's 1533-position model. The record is from RNAcentral. Lineage: Bacteria; Bacillati; Bacillota.
GCAGUAGGGAAUCUUCCACAAUGGGCGAAAGCCUGAUGGAGCAACGCCGCGUGAAUGAAGAAGGCCUUAGGGUCGUAAAGUUCUGUCCUUAGGGAAGAACCGUGGGUAUAGCAAAUGAUACCCACCUGACGGUACCUUUGGAGGAAGCACUGGCUAACUACGUGCCAGCAGCCGCGGUAAUACGUAGAGUGCAAGCGUUGUCCGGAAUUAUUGGGCGUAAAGGGUACGCAGGCGGAUAAUCAAGUCAAGCGUGAAAGGUGUCGGCUUAACCGACAGACUGCGUUUGAAACUGAUUAUCUUGAGUGUAACAGAGGAGAGUGGAAUUCCUAGUGUAGUGGUGAAAUACGUAGAUAUUAGGAAGAACACCAGUGGCGAAGGCGACUCUCUGGGUUAACACUGACGCUGAGGUACGAAAGCUGGGGGAGCGAACGGGAUUAGAUACCCCGGUAGUCCCAGCCGUAAACGAUGGAUACUAGGUGUUGGAGGUUCGAAUCCUUCAGUGCCGGAGUUAACGCAUUAAGUAUCCCGCCUGGGGAUUACGAUCGCAAGAUUGAAACUCAAAGGAAUUGACGG